This 448-nucleotide ribosomal RNA is filed under the name uncultured bacterium. RNAcentral's name for it is "partial 16S ribosomal RNA". It matches the Rfam family "Bacterial small subunit ribosomal RNA", at positions 354 to 796 of the family's 1533-position model. The record is from RNAcentral.
GUGGGGAAUAUUGGACAAUGGGCGAAAGCCUGAUCCAGCCAUGCCGCGUGUGUGAAGAAGGUCUUCGGAUUGUAAAGCACUUUAAGUUGGGAGGAAGGGUAGUAACCUAAUACGUUGCUACUUUGACGUUACCGACAGAAUAAGCACCGGCUAACUUCGUGCCAGCAGCCGCGGUAAUACGAAGGGUGCAAGCGUUAAUCGGAAUUACUGGGCGUAAAGCGCGCGUAGGUGGUUCAGUAAGUUGGAAGUGAAAUCCCCGGGCUCAACCUGGGAACUGCUUUCAAAACUGCUGAGCUAGAGUACGGUAGAGGGUGGUGGAAUUUCGGGUGUAGCGGUGGAAUGCGUAGAUAUCCGAAAGAACACCAGUGGCGAAGGCGACGAUCUGGGCCUGAACUGACGCUGAGGAGCGAAAGCUAGGGGAGCAAACGGGAUUAGAUACUAGUAGUCC